AACGCGAAGAACCUUACCAGGGCUUGACAUCUACAGAAUCCUUGGGAAACCAAGGAGUGCCUUUCGGGGAGCUGUAAGACAGGUGGUGCAUGGUUGUCGUCAGCUCGUGUCGUGAGAUGUUGGGUUAAGUCCCGCAACGAGCGCAACCCCUGUGUUUAGUUGCUAACGAGUAAUGUCGAGCACUCUAGACAGACUGCCGGUGAUAAACCGGAGGAAGGUGGGGAUGACGUCAAAUCAUCAUGCCCCUUAUGUUCUGGGCUACACACGUGCUACAAUGGCCAGUACAGACGGACGCGAAGCCGCGAGGUGGAGCAAAUCCGAGAAAGCUGGUCUCAGUUCGGAUUGCAGGCUGCAACUCGCCUGCAUGAAGUCGGAAUCGCUAGUAAUCGCAGGUCAGCAUACUGCGGUGAAUACGUUCCCGGGCCUUGUACACACCGACGCGUA
RNAcentral lists this ribosomal RNA (444 nucleotides) under uncultured bacterium. Its description in RNAcentral is "bacterial SSU rRNA". It matches the Rfam family "Bacterial small subunit ribosomal RNA", at positions 958 to 1399 of the family's 1533-position model. The record is from RNAcentral.